UGGGGANUCUUCCGCAAUGGACGAAAGUCUGACGGAGCAACGCCGCGUGAGUGAUGACGGCCUUCGGGUUGUAAAGCUCUGUUAAUCGGGACGAAUGGUUCUUGUGCAAAUAGUGCGAGGAUUUGACGGUACCGGAAUAGAAAGCCACGGCUAACUACGUGCCAGCAGCCGCGGUAAUACGUAGGUGGCAAGCGUUGUCCGGAAUUAUUGGGCGUAAAGCGCGCGCAGGCGGAUUGGUCAGUCUGUCUUAAAAGUUUGGGGCUUAACCCCGUGAUGGGAUGGAAACUGCCAAUCUAGAGUAUCGGAGGGGAAAGUGGAAUUCCUAGUGUAGCGGUGAAAUGCGUAGAUAUUAGGAAGAACACCAGUGGCGAAGGCGACUUUCUGGACGAAAACUGACGCUGAGGCGCGAAAGCCAGGGGAGCGAACGGGAUUAGAUACCCCGGUAGUCCUGGCCGUAAACGAUGGGUACUAGGUGUAGGAGGUAUCGACCCCUUCUGUGCCGGAGUUAACGCAAUAAGUACCCCGCCUGGGGAGUACGACCGCAAGGUUG
Molecule: ribosomal RNA, 550 nt
Filed under: uncultured bacterium
Lineage: Bacteria
Description: bacterial SSU rRNA
Rfam family: Bacterial small subunit ribosomal RNA
Source: RNAcentral